RNAcentral lists this ribosomal RNA (507 nucleotides) under Platypedia sp. 2 JAC-2022a. Its description in RNAcentral is "partial large subunit ribosomal RNA". It matches the Rfam family "Archaeal large subunit ribosomal RNA", at positions 1953 to 2666 of the family's 2987-position model. The record is from RNAcentral. Lineage: Eukaryota; Metazoa; Arthropoda; Insecta; Hemiptera; Cicadidae.
GUCUUUUAGAAAAAAAAUUGAAGGUCUAAUCUGCCCAAUGAUUAUUAAAUGGCCGCGGUAAACUGACCGUGCAAAGGUAGCAUAAUAAUUAGUCUUUUAAUUGGAGGCUUGUAUGAAUGAUUGAAUGAAAGAUUUUCUUUAUUAUUUUUAACAUUUUAAUUUAAUUUUUAAGUAAAAAAGCUUAAAUUAUUAUGUGGGACGAGAAGACCCUAUAGAGUUUAAAAAUUAAUUUAAUCUAUUAUUUUUGGAGUUUGUUAUUAAGUAGAUUAUAUUAACUUUUUUGUUGGGGUGAUAUUAAAAUUUCAAAAACUUUUAAUUUAUUAUUCAUUAAUUAAUGAUUUUAUGUUCUUGUUUUAAAAAUAGAGGACUAAAUUACCUUAGGGAUAACAGCGUAAUUAAACUAUAGAGUUCUAAUUGACAGUUUAGUUUGCGACCUCGAUGUUGGAUUAAGAAAAGAUUUUGGGGCAAGUUCUAUUAUUUCUAGGUCUGUUCGACCUUUAAAUUCUU